This 253-nucleotide ribosomal RNA is filed under the name uncultured bacterium. RNAcentral describes it as "partial 16S ribosomal RNA". It matches the Rfam family "Bacterial small subunit ribosomal RNA", at positions 524 to 776 of the family's 1533-position model. The record is from RNAcentral.
UACGUAGGGGGCCAGCGUUGUCCGGAUUUAUUGGGCGUAAAGAGCGUGUAGGCGGCCAGGUAGGUCUGGUGUGAAAACUCGAGGCUCAACCUCGAGAUGUCAUCGGAAACCAUCUGGCUAGAGUCCGGAAGAGGAGAGUGGAAUUCCUGGUGUAGCGGUGAAAUGCGCAGAUAUCAGGAGGAACACCGGUGGCGAAGGCGGAUCUCUGGGCCUUACCUGACGCUCAGGCGCGAAAGCUAGGGGAGCGAACAGG